UUCACAUCCCUGCCACCUCCACAGAAACAGGUGCUGGUAUCCAAGUCUGAGACCCAUAGAUGGUUCACAUCACAGGACUCUGUGUAGACAACCCCCAGUACCAGUCCAGAGCCUGGUAGACUUCCUAGGUGGCUAGACCCAUAAAAGAAAUAACAAUCACUACAGCUCAGCUCUCAGGAAGCCACAUCCAUAGGAAAAGGGGGAGAGUACUACAUCAAAGAAACACCCUGUGGGACAACAGAAUCUGAACAACAGCCUUCAGCCCUAGACCUUCUCUCUGAUAGCGCCUACUCAAAUGAGAAGGAAUGAGAAAACCAACUCUGGUAUUUUUCCCCGACUUGCAGCAGCACAUCCCAUUUCCUUGAGUUAUGAAAGUGUUCCCCUGAGAGAGACUCCAGUAACACCCUUCCUCCUCCCAAAGCUUACUCCUGCACCUGCCUCCACGGGAUGCCAAACUAGACUGGAGGCUAACCCCUAAGGAGGCCCCCUCCCCAUCACCUCACAAGCUAAGCAUCCCAGCUGAGAGGCCAGAAUGUGGUAUAUGGCCGGGCGCGGUGGCUCACGCCUAUAAUCCCAGCACUUUGGGAGGCCGAGGUGGGCGGAUCACCUGAGGUCGGGAGUUCCAGACCAGACUGACCAAAAUGGAGAAACCCCGUCUCUACUACAAAUACAAAAUUAGCCGGGUGUGUUGGCGCAUGCGUGUAAUCCUAGCUACUUGGGAGGCUGAGGCAGGAGAAUCGCCUGAACCCGGGAGGCAGAGGUUGCCGUGAGCCGAGAUGGCGCCAUUGCACUGCAGUCUGGGCAAGAAGAGCGAAACUCCGUCUCAACAACAACAACAAAAAAAGUGGUACAAAUGAAUCGUUUAUGGAACAACCUAUACAAUACCUUGGUGAACACUUCUUGUGCACUUGAGAAGAGUGAAUCUGCUGCGCACACUGCUCUGAUUGUGUCAGUUGGGUAAGUCAGUCUGUAGCACUGAUCAAUAUCGAAUAUUCUUCUUACUGAUGUUUUUUGUUUCAUUGUUUUGUCAAUUAUUAAGAUUGUUUAAAAUCUACUAUGAUGAAGAAUUUAUCUAUUUCUCCUGUUAGUUCUGUCAUUAUGCUUCAUGGAUUUUGAAGUUUAUACACUUUAUUCAUUUUGAAAAUCAUCCUUAUUCUUCCUGCUAAUACUCCAUAAUUUGAAGUCUGCUUUGUAAGAUGUUCAUAUAGCCAUGAAACUCCUUAAGUUUACCUGCACAAUGUAUGUUGUUUUCCAUCUUAUCAACCUGAGUCAUACAUGGUUGUCUCCUGUAGGACACAAAUAGUUUGAUCAUUUUUUUAAAAUCUAAUCUGUUAAUACAUACCUUUUAAUAAGAGUUUAGUUCAUUUAACUUCAUGUGAUUGUUUGCUUUUAAGUCCACUGUAUUGAUUUGUUCUAUUUGUACCAUUUCUUUCACUGAGUGUGUACUUCUCCUUUCCUUUCUUCAUGUGGGUUAUCUGAAUCGUUUUAAAUAUUAAAUUUGAAAUCCUCCACUGGAUUUUUAGUUGCACUUCUUUUUAUUAAAAAAAAUACCACUCUCAUAUUUACAAUGUGCAUCAUUGUCUGACCAUAGUCUUCUUAGGGCUAACACUG
Molecule: long non-coding RNA, 1611 nt
Filed under: Homo sapiens (human)
Lineage: Eukaryota; Metazoa; Chordata; Mammalia; Primates; Hominidae
Description: HSALNT0252908
Source: RNAcentral